ACGGAGGAUGCGAGCGUUAUCCGGAUUUAUUGGGUUUAAAGGGUGCGCAGGCGGAAGAUCAAGUCAGCGGUAAAAUUGAGAGGCUCAACCUCUUCGAGCCGUUGAAACUGGUUUUCUUGAGUGAGCGAGAAGUAUGCGGAAUGCGUGGUGUAGCGGUGAAAUGCAUAGAUAUCACGCAGAACUCCGAUUGCGAAGGCAGCAUACCGGCGCUCAACUGACGCUCAUGCACGAAAGUGUGGGUAUCGAA
This 247-nucleotide ribosomal RNA is filed under the name uncultured bacterium. Its description in RNAcentral is "partial 16S ribosomal RNA". It matches the Rfam family "Bacterial small subunit ribosomal RNA", at positions 525 to 772 of the family's 1533-position model. The record is from RNAcentral.